UACGAAGGGUGCAAGCGUUACUCGGAAUUACUGGGCGUAAAGCGUGCGCAGGUGGUUUGUUAAGUCUGAUGUGAAAGCCCUGGGCUCAACCUGGGAACCGCAUUGGAAACUGGCUUACUAGAGUGCGGUAGAGGGGUGUGGAAUUCCCGGUGUAGCAGUGAAAUGCGUAGAUAUCGGGAGGAACAUCUGUGGCGAAGGCGACACCCUGGACCAGCACUGACACUGAGGCACGAAAGCGUGGGGAGCAAACAGG
RNAcentral lists this ribosomal RNA (253 nucleotides) under uncultured bacterium. RNAcentral's name for it is "partial 16S ribosomal RNA". It matches the Rfam family "Bacterial small subunit ribosomal RNA", at positions 524 to 776 of the family's 1533-position model. The record is from RNAcentral.